This 250-nucleotide ribosomal RNA is filed under the name uncultured bacterium. RNAcentral's name for it is "partial 16S ribosomal RNA". It matches the Rfam family "Bacterial small subunit ribosomal RNA", at positions 524 to 772 of the family's 1533-position model. The record is from RNAcentral.
UACGAAGGGGGCUAGCGUUGUUCGGAAUCACUGGGCGUAAAGCGCACGCAGGCGGGUCGUUAAGUCAGGGGUGAAAUCCCGAGGCUCAACCUCGGAACUGCCUUUGAUACUGGCGACCUUUGAGUCCGGGAGAGGUGAGUGGAACUCCGAGUGUAGAGGUGAAAUUCGUAGAUAUUCGGAAGAACACCAGUGGCGAAGGCGGCUCACUGGCCCGGUACUGACGCUCAGGUGCGAAAGCGUGGGGAGCAAA